RNAcentral lists this transfer RNA (69 nucleotides) under Apodemus chejuensis (Jeju striped field mouse). RNAcentral's name for it is "tRNA-Ser". It matches the Rfam family "tRNA". Rfam says of the family: Transfer RNA (tRNA) molecules are approximately 80 nucleotides in length. Their secondary structure includes four short double-helical elements and three loops (D, anti-codon, and T loops). The record is from RNAcentral. Lineage: Eukaryota; Metazoa; Chordata; Mammalia; Rodentia; Muridae.
GAGAAAGACAUAGAGGCUAUGAGGUUGGCUUGAAACCAGUUUUAGGGGGUUCGAAUCCUUCCUUUCUUA